This 77-nucleotide transfer RNA is filed under the name endosymbiont of Ridgeia piscesae. RNAcentral's name for it is "tRNA-Met". It matches the Rfam family "tRNA". From Rfam's summary of the family: Transfer RNA (tRNA) molecules are approximately 80 nucleotides in length. Their secondary structure includes four short double-helical elements and three loops (D, anti-codon, and T loops). Further hydrogen bonds mediate the characteristic L-shaped molecular structure. tRNAs have two regions of fundamental functional importance: the anti-codon, which is responsible for specific mRNA codon recognition, and the 3' end, to which the tRNAs corresponding amino acid is attached (by aminoacyl-tRNA synthetases). tRNAs cope with the degeneracy of the genetic code in two manners: having more than one tRNA (with a specific anti-codon) for a particular amino acid; and 'wobble' base-pairing, i.e. permitting non-standard base-pairing at the 3rd anti-codon position. RNAcentral also lists the same sequence under 51 other names. The record is from RNAcentral. Lineage: Bacteria; Pseudomonadati; Pseudomonadota; Gammaproteobacteria.
GGCAAGGUAGCUCAGUUGGUUAGAGCACAGCACUCAUAAUGCUGGGGUCGGCAGUUCGAAUCUGCCCCUUGCUACCA